ACCGAAAAAGGAAACAACCCGAAAGGGUUGGACGCGAAGCAACUGACCUAAGUCCGGAUUUUAAGGAUACGGUAGCAGGGCUGCCGGAC
Molecule: non-coding RNA, 89 nt
Filed under: unclassified sequences
Description: c-di-GMP sequence
Rfam family: c-di-GMP-I-GGC riboswitch aptamer
Source: Rfam by way of RNAcentral